CGGAACGGGUGAGUAAUAUAUCGGAACGUACCCAGAAGUGGGGGAGUAACGUAGCGAAAGUUACGCUAAUACCGCAUACGAUCUACGGAUGAAAGUGGGGGACCUUCGGGCCUCAUGCUUUUGGAGCGGCCGAUAUCUGAUUAGCUAGUUGGUGAGGUAAAGGCUCACCAAGGCGACGAUCAGUAGCUGGUCUGAGAGGACGACCAGCCACACUGGGACUGAGACACGGCCCAG
RNAcentral lists this ribosomal RNA (234 nucleotides) under uncultured bacterium. Its description in RNAcentral is "partial 16S ribosomal RNA". It matches the Rfam family "Bacterial small subunit ribosomal RNA", at positions 100 to 334 of the family's 1533-position model. The record is from RNAcentral.